Molecule: ribosomal RNA, 468 nt
Filed under: uncultured bacterium
Lineage: Bacteria
Description: partial 16S ribosomal RNA
Rfam family: Bacterial small subunit ribosomal RNA
Source: RNAcentral
GACGAACGCUGGCGGCGUGCCUAACACAUGCAAGUCGAACGGAAAGGCCCUGGCUUGGUGGGGUGCUCGAGUGGCGAACGGGUGAGUAACACGUGAGUAACCUGCCCUUGACGUUGGGAUAACUUCAUGAAACCGGGGCCAAUACCGGAUAGGAGAUCCUGCUGCAUGGUGGUGGUUGGAAAGGUUCGGCGGUUGGGGAUGGACUGGCGGCUGAGCAGCAUGUUGGUGGGGUAGUGGCUGACCAAGGCGUUGACGGGUAGCCGGCCCGAGAGGGGGACCGGCCACAUUGGGACUGAGCUACGGCACGGACUCCUACGGGAGGCAGCGGAGGGGAGUAAUGCACGAUGGGCGGAAGCCUGGUGCGGCAACGCCGCGUGCGGGAUGACGGCCUUCGGGUUGUGAGCAGAUUUCGCGUGUGACGAGGCGUGAGUGACGGUACUGGGUAAAAAAGCCCCGGCUAACUACGUG